Molecule: ribosomal RNA, 206 nt
Filed under: uncultured bacterium
Lineage: Bacteria
Description: partial 16S ribosomal RNA
Rfam family: Bacterial small subunit ribosomal RNA
Source: RNAcentral
CACGUAGGCGGCUUUGUAAGUUAGAGGUGAAAGCCCGGAGCUCAACUCCGGAAUUGCCUUUAAGACUGCAUCGCUAGAAUUGUGGAGAGGUGAGUGGAAUUCCGAGUGUAGAGGUGAAAUUCGUAGAUAUUCGGAAGAACACCAGUAGCGAAGGCGACUCACUGGACACAUAUUGACGCUGAGGUGCGAAAGCGUGGGAGCAAACA